CUUGGUGGGUUAGUUUUUGUUAGUCGGUUUGCUUUUGCUUGGUGGGUUAGUUUUUAGUCGUCGGUUUGCUUUCGCUUGGUGGGUUAGUUUUUGCUAGUCGGUUAGCUUUUGUUUGGGGGUUAUUUUAGCCAGUUGUUUUGCUUUCAUUUUUGGGUUAGGUUUUGCUAGCUGAUUUUCUUUUCUGUGGUGGGAUUGGUCUUUCCCUAGUUGGUUUGCUUAUGUUUAAUGGGGUUAGUUUUUGCUAGCUGGUUAACGUUUGUCUUAUGGGGUAGUUUUUGCUUGUUGGUUUGCUUUUUUUUAGUGGGAUUAGUUUUUGCUAUUUAGUUUUAUUUUGUUGUUAGUUUUUGCUAGUUGGUUUUGUUUUGUUUGACUCAGUUUAAUUGCGUGCGAAUUCUUAAAAGUCUUAUUUUUUUUAGACUCAGGAUUUGUUUAUUUAUUUAUUUUAGAUUUCCAACAGGAGAUGAUCUGAUUGUGAGUGCCAAAAAAGAAAACCUCGUCCGAAUGUCUCAAUAUCUUCGAAAGAACAAUGCUUUUCUUGUCCUUGCUAGCAUCGACAUUUCUACCAGCCGUCCCUGCUACACGUAAACGUUAGCUACAGUCCCCUCCAAAAGUAUUGGAACAGCACGGCUAAUUCUGUUGUUUUCGCUAUACGUUGAAGAGAUUUAGAUCAGAUUAGAAUUUCUGCUUUCAUUUCCUGAUAUUUACAUCUAGAUGUGUUCAACUGAGUAAAAAAAUCGCACUUUUGGUGGCAGACCACCCAAUAUUUAGGUGAGCAAAAGUAUAUGAACAGGUAGUCUUAAAGUACAUUUAAGCAAAUUGCACUCAAUAUUUGGUUGCAUAUCCCGUGCUUGCAAUAACUGCAUCGAGAUGGAGACUCACUGACAUCUCCAAAUUGUUGCAUAAUUUCCUUUAUGAUGCAUUUCGAGUUGUUGGUUUGUGUGGGAUGGGGCGGUGUGAAAUGCUCAGUCGAGUUCAAUUCUGGUGAUUGACUCGGCAGUGUGUUUUGGAUCGUUGUCUUUGCUGCAUGAUGAAGUUCCUCCUGAUUAAUUUGCAUGCAUCCCUCUGUAAAUUAGCAGACAAAAUGUUCCUGUACACUUCCAAACUCAUUCUGCUGCUCCCAUCAUGAGUUCCAUCAUCAAUAAAGAUUAGCGAGCCUGUUCCAGAAGCAUCCAUGCAACCCCGAGCCGUGACGCUACCUCCACCGUGUUUCACAGACGAGCUUGUAUGUUAUGGAUCAUGAGCAGAUAAAGCUCAUUCUGUACAGAUUUUUCAGUCUCAGUCUUUUCAGUUCUUAAUAGUGUACUAAUGUUUUUUUUUUUGUUGUUUUUUUAAAACGGACCUCAAACCGUCACGUGGAUCGGAGAACGUCUCAGUGCUUUGUUAAUUAGUGCUAGCUACAGGAUGUUCCUUUUAGCGAAUGAGUAACAGCGUUAGUGAGAAGUUCGACACCUUUUGCAUAGUAAUAAAUACGCCAUGUAAAUUAAACGCAUUUCAUUUUAUUAUUAUUAGUUUAUUAUUGUUAUUAUGACUAAAGUGAAACAACAACCCAAGGCUCUCUUUAUUACUCCUUUCAGCUUUCCUCCUUUGAAU
Long non-coding RNA from Ictalurus punctatus (channel catfish), 1590 nucleotides. The record is from Ensembl. Lineage: Eukaryota; Metazoa; Chordata; Actinopteri; Siluriformes; Ictaluridae.